RNAcentral lists this ribosomal RNA (443 nucleotides) under uncultured bacterium. RNAcentral describes it as "partial 16S ribosomal RNA". It matches the Rfam family "Bacterial small subunit ribosomal RNA", at positions 338 to 795 of the family's 1533-position model. The record is from RNAcentral.
CCUACGGGCGGCUGCAGUGGGGAAUAUUGCACAAUGGGGGGAACCCUGAUGCAGCAAUGCCGCGUGAAGGAUGAAGGUUUUCGGAUUGUAAACUUCUUUUGUACGGGACGAAGAACGUGACGGUACCGUACGAAUAAGCCACGGCUAACUACGUGCCAGCAGCCGCUGUAAUACGGAGGUGGCAAGCGUUAUGCGGAUUUACUGGGUGUAAAGGGCGAGUAGGCGGGAUUGCAAGGCAGAUGGUAAAACUAUGGGCUCAAACGAUAGAGUGCAUUUGAAACUGGAGUUCUUGAGUGAGGGAGAGGCAGGCGGAAUUCGUGGUGUAGCGGUGGAAUGCGUAGAUAUCGGGAGGAACACCAGUGGCGAAGGCGGCCUGCUGGACAUUAACUGACGCUGAGGCGCGAAAGCGUGGGGAGCAAACAGGAUUAGAUACCCGGGUAGUC